RNAcentral lists this long non-coding RNA (666 nucleotides) under Homo sapiens (human). RNAcentral describes it as "HSALNT0264125". Lineage: Eukaryota; Metazoa; Chordata; Mammalia; Primates; Hominidae. The record is from RNAcentral.
AGUUGGGAAAGGAGCAUACAGAGUGCUGGAAUUGUCUUGGGUGAGACAGACUUUUUCUAUUGGGGUCUGCAUGCAAAAAUCCUGCCAAGUCUCAGUCCUAAACUUAAGUAAUCAGGUUGGUGGAAGGAAAAACUAUGAAGGAGGUAAGGAUUGCUGCCAACAUUCUGCCAUGACUUUUCAACACCCCUUAGCUCUUUUGGCAGAUUCUCUCCAUCCAGGUGUUCAGACCCCCACCCUCCCUUUUCCUGAACUACAGCUUCCAAGGUCACCCACAUUGUAGUAUCAUUAGGUAUGACAAGCUUCAUAUGCCAGACUUUUCUCUCCUAGUUUUUCUGCUUCCCCCAAAUCUGAUUCCUUCUUUGCUUGUGCCCUUGAUCUUUGUUGAAGUUAAUUUGACAACUGAUGGGAGCUGGAGUAUCAAUGAGUGAUAAUGUCUCAGUGUUUCCUUCCUUUCUGAUCACAUCUGUACUCUUCAUCAUGCAGUAAAGCAGGACUUCUGGAACUGGGCAGGAGAGAGGCCUUUCCUUAAUUCCUUCAGAUUGUAGCUUAUUACUUUGCCCAUGAAUGGGGGCCGAAAGGAUAAAAAAAUAUACCUUUCCCUCAUCCAUCACAAAGGCCAUGACUAACACUCCUAUAACAAAAGACAGGUUAGCAAGAGAAACACAU